RNAcentral lists this ribosomal RNA (1527 nucleotides) under uncultured bacterium. RNAcentral describes it as "bacterial SSU rRNA". It matches the Rfam family "Bacterial small subunit ribosomal RNA". The record is from RNAcentral.
AGAGUUUGAUCCUGGCUCAGGAUGAACGCUGGCGGCGUGCCUAACACAUGCAAGUCGAACGUGAGAGCUUAGCAAUAGGCUUGAAAGUGGCGAACGGGUGAGUAACACGUAGGUAACCUGCCGCGCAGAGGGGGAUAACCACUGGAAACGGUGGCUAAUACCGCAUGGUACUAUCGAGAUGGGAAUCUUGAUGGUUAAAACCUGGGUAAUACCAGAUGCUGCGCGAGGGGUCUGCGUCCGAUUAGUUAGUUGGUGAGGUAACGGCUCACCAAGACGAUGAUCGGUAGCUAGUCUGAGAGGAUGAUUAGCCACACGGGAACUGAGACACGGUCCCGACUCCUACGGGGGGCAGCAGUGAGGAAUAUUGCACAAUGGACGCAAGUCUGAUGCAGCAACGCCGCGUGGAGGAUGACGGUCUUUGGAUUGUAAACUCCUUUUCUCAGGGAAGAGAAUGGACGGUACCUGAGGAAUAAGUCACGGCUAACUACGUGCCAGCAGCCGCGGUAAUACGUAGGUGGCGAGCGUAUCCGGAAUUACUGGGCGUAAAGCGCACGCAGGCGGUUAGGCAAAGUUCGAUGUGAAAGCUCCCGGCUUAACCUGGGAGAGGUCGUUGAAAAACUGCCCUAGCUUUGAGGCAAUGAGAGGGGUGUAGAAUUCCCGGUUGUAUGGUGGAAUGCUGUAAAUUUCGGGGGGAAUACCAGUUGGGCGAAAGCGGGCACCCCUAGCGUUGUUUCUUGACGCUCAUGUGCCGAAAGCGUGGGGAGCGAACGGGGAUUUAGAUAACCCCCGGUAGUCCACACUGUAAACGAUGAACACUAGGUGUAGGGUGAUGUGAAAGUUAUCUGUACCGAACCAACGCGUUAAGUGUUCCGCCUGGGGAGUACGGCCGCAAAGGCUAAAACUCAAAGGAAUUGACCGGGGGGCCCGCACCAAAGCAGCGGAGCGUGUGGUUUAAUUUCGAUGCAACGCGAAGAACCUUUACCCAGGUUUGACAUGGACGUAGUAGUGAAGCGAAAGCGGAACGACCCCUUCGGGGAGCGUCCACAGGUGCUGCAUGGCUGUCGUCAGCUCGUGUCGUGAGAUGUUGGGUUAAGUCCCGCAACGAGCGCAACCCCUGUGCCUAGUUACAAGUGUCUAGGCAGACUGCCGACAUCAAGUUGGAGGAAGGUGGGGAUGAUGUCAAGUCAGCAUGGCCUUUAUAUCUGGGGCGACACACACGCUACAAUGGGCAGUACAAUGGGCAGCGAAAGGGCGACCUGGAGCGAAUCUCAUCAAAGCUGUUCGUAGUUCGGAUUGUAGGCUGCAACUCGCCUACAUGAAGCCGGAGUUGCUAGUAACCGCAGGUCAGCCAUACUGCGGUGAAUACGUUCCCGGGCCUUGUACACACCGCCCGUCACGUCAUGGGAGUUGGUAACACCUGAAGUCGGUGACCUAACCGCAAGGGAGGAGCUGCCUAGGGUGGGGCUGAUGACUGGGACGAAGUCGUACAAGGUAGCCGUACCGGAAGGUGUGGCUGGAUCACCUCCU